This 77-nucleotide transfer RNA is filed under the name Crassvirales sp. RNAcentral's name for it is "tRNA-His". It matches the Rfam family "tRNA". From Rfam's summary of the family: Transfer RNA (tRNA) molecules are approximately 80 nucleotides in length. Their secondary structure includes four short double-helical elements and three loops (D, anti-codon, and T loops). The record is from RNAcentral. Lineage: Duplodnaviria; Heunggongvirae; Uroviricota; Caudoviricetes; Crassvirales.
GUGUUAGUAUUUUAAUUGGUUAGAAGUCUUGACUGUGAAUCAAGAGGGUAUGGGUUCAAAUCCCAUCUAACACCCCA